RNAcentral lists this ribosomal RNA (253 nucleotides) under uncultured bacterium. RNAcentral's name for it is "partial 16S ribosomal RNA". It matches the Rfam family "Bacterial small subunit ribosomal RNA", at positions 524 to 776 of the family's 1533-position model. The record is from RNAcentral.
UACAGAGGGGGCAAGCGUUGUUCGGAAUUACUGGGCGUAAAGGGCGCGUAGGCGGCCUUCUAAGUCGAACGUGAAAUCCCUGGGCUCAACCCAGGAACUGCGUCCGAUACUGGAAGGCUUGAAUCCGGGAGAGGGAUGCGGAAUUCCAGGUGUAGCGGUGAAAUGCGCAGAUAUCAGGAGGAACACCGGUGGCGAAGGCGGGUCCCUGGGCCGAUACUGACGCUGAGGAGCGAAAGCAUGGGGAGCGAACAGG